AGGUCCAGCCUGCCCAGUGAUAAAUUCAACGGCCGCGGUACCCUAACCGUGCAAAGGUAGCAUAAUCACUUGUUUCUUAAAUAGGGACUUGUAUCAAAGGCACCACGAGGGUUCUACUGUCUCCUCUCUCUAAUCAGUGAAAUUGAUCCCCCCGUGAAGAAGCGGGGAUAAUAUUAUAAGACGAGAAGACCCCAUGGAGCUUUAAACCAAACAACAACUCAAUUUUAUAUCCCUAAACAAACAAUAGAGAAAUGUUGUAAGGUUUUGGGUUGGGGAGACCACGGAGUAAAAAUUAACCUCCACGACGAAAGGACCUAGUCUUUAUUUAAGAAUUACCCUUCAAAAAAUUAGUAUACUAACGAGUAAUGAUCCAAUAUUUGAUCAACGGACCAAGUUACCCUGGGGAUAACAGCGCAAUCUACUUCGAGAGCCCAUAUCGACAAGUAGGCUUACGACCUCGAUGUUGGAUCAGGGUAUCCUAGUGGUGCAGCCGCUACUAAUGGUUCGUUUGUUCAACGAU
Molecule: ribosomal RNA, 520 nt
Filed under: Taruga longinasus (southern whipping frog)
Lineage: Eukaryota; Metazoa; Chordata; Amphibia; Anura; Rhacophoridae
Description: partial large subunit ribosomal RNA
Rfam family: Bacterial large subunit ribosomal RNA
Source: RNAcentral